Dreissena polymorpha is the source of this 1155-nucleotide long non-coding RNA. RefSeq lists it as uncharacterized. The record is from RefSeq and is a predicted model, not a curated record. The transcript has 3 exons. Lineage: Eukaryota; Metazoa; Mollusca; Bivalvia; Myida; Dreissenidae.
UUCUCACCCUGGCCAGGGAUGGCACACUCCUGGCUACAUACACAGACCCAGCACUAGUGGGCCCACUUGGUCUACAUGUGACCCCUGCAGGCCAGGUGCUGGUCUGUGGAGCCUGGUCCGACACUGUACUACAGGUGGGCUGGGAGGGAAAGAGUAAGCUGGCUACGCUGGCUACUCAUAAGGAUGGAGUGAGGUGGCCAGAGUCAGUCUGCUACAGCAGCACCACAUCAUCCAUCAUUGUGGGACUGGGGGGGAAGGACAACAUCCUGGUGUUCAGAGUGGAAUAGUGUGUACAUUUGCUGCUGGGUCGGGACAACGAUGCUGAGGAUGUGGGGGACAAGCAUGACGCAGAAGGUGAGCACCAGCAUUGAUAUCCAGUUGGCCAAGCAACAGCACCAGUCCGGCCUGCAGGAGCCCCAAUACUAAAUGAUCCUUUGCCUUCCCUGAUCCCUACCUCCUCCCACUGGACCUCCGGCCACAAAGGGUCAGCAUCAUAACACAAGUCUGUUCUGCAAUAAAUCCUCAGCACGUCAAGUUUUCACGCGCUGUUAUGAACAGCUGAAAUGUCUGUGUUGAGAUUUCCCCAAGCAAGCCCGAGUAGUUUUGUUUAGCUCUAGUGCCCGAGUGGGAUGAGUGUUACAGAAGCGAGACGUUAUAGCAGCACUUAUGGUAACGCUAACAGUUGACGCUAACAGUUAGUUCUCGCUGUGGACAUCACGAAGAAUCUCACGAAGGAUUAAACGUUGAAUAGUUUGUUUAAUUCUUUAUAAGACAGCUAUAUAUUCAGCGAGGAACGGGAGCAAAUCAAGGAACAAUCGAAACGAUUCAUUCAGAAGUAUAUCUGCUGUAGAUAGUUAGGACAGUAGAAGCGUUACGGACUAUCCUCAGCGCACAAUAUAUUCAUGUGGUGUGCCUCAGACGCAAAUUCCCCACAUUAUUGAAAACAAGUUGCUAAAAAGUCAACACGUACGGUUUUGCACUCCGAGCCCAAAGAGCAUCGCAUUGAAUUGAGACUAAAGAAGGCUUAAAAACGUGACAACAGUUUUGUUGUAUGGUACAGUAUGCCCUUCGACUCAACCCGAAGUUAAUCAGAACUCAAACUCGGCCCUUAACAAUAUCCGCGAGGCCAGCAUAUCAGCUCAGCUUCUGAGCUUC